ACAAAUCCAAUAUGUAGGUUUGGGGGUGAAUAACCCUCUACCUAAUAUUAAACCGCUAGUCCGAUUAAUUAAUUAGUGGGACUAGUUGGAUAUAUAUGCAUGUUAUGUUGACAGUGUGUGUAAUUAAAAAUUUAUUGA
This 138-nucleotide unclassified non-coding RNA is filed under the name uncultured Rozellomycota. RNAcentral's name for it is "uncultured Cryptomycota sequence contains ITS1". Lineage: Eukaryota; Fungi; Rozellomycota. The record is from RNAcentral.